CUGGCCUCCACCGGGUGGUUUGGAAAAGUAUUACGGAUACAGAAGGUUCCAAAAGGCUCAACCCGAUCUGUGAAUGGAUAUGUGCAGUCCUAUCUAGGCAGGAAAAACUUCUAUUGGGAGAUGUCGAAGAACUACUAGAAUCCAAGUCAAGGGAUAUUGCGGAGCAGAAUUAUAUCAAGCACUUGAUGAGUCACAUGUUGGGCUCCAAGUAUAUAGAUUGCGGGAUUCUUGUCGCUGUAUCCAGGGAAUUUCUGGAGUCCAUUAGAAAGACUAUCCAUGAUCAGCGUCCUGCCUGGCGAAUUGAUGCUGCAGAAGUUGAUGUCUUAUGUGAUUUCUGCAUUUCUUAUUUCUGACCAUUCAGUUUUCACUGCUUUAUCUCAGGUUCUCCUAGAAUGGGCAUCUGCGUCGCAGUAGAAAUAAAGGCAAACUUCAUUGACCUGGAUAUGAAACCUCUGCAGAACAUGGUUCAUUACUACGAGUUAGAUCAGAAGAUCGCGAACUUCUAUAUUAAGAGUGAGGACCUAGGAGGAAGUCCAUGCGAUUCUACAACCCGAGGUACCAAGGACAGGAAGAUUCAAUGUCAACAAUGAAAAAAAGUCCUGAGUUUGAAUAUCAUGGAAGUGUUUCUCAAAAAAAAAAAAAAAAAACAAAAAAAGAAGGAACAAGAAUGGAGUUAGCUGAAAGUAUCUCCUAUAUGUUGGAUUUUGGUCAAUUUAUGUUACUUGCUCCUUGAUAUUGAAAACUUUCAGGCAUGUCAGAGUAUGUAUUUAUGUUUUGAACAACAAGAAAAAUUGUAAGUUGUACUAAUAGUAACGUGCGUUCAAGCCCAAGCACUGCUUCCUUUAUGGAGUGGCAUUCAUGCAUCUACAACUGCCAUUAUCUAUAACUAUAAAAAACUGUAGUGUCAGUGGAUAUAUCAUGUACGAAGUGUAAGAAGAAGGUUAUGAAAUUGGUUGCAGGGAUAGAAGGCAUAGAUUCCAUCGUCCUUGAUCCACCUAAAGGAUUGGUCACGGUCAUAGGAGAUGCAGACCCAUCUGAGAUCAUCAGAAAGACGAGGAAGUUCAGGAAUCGGCACAAUUCGUUAGUAUAGGUCCACCCAAGGAAGAGAAGAAGGAUGGAAAGAAAGACACUGGUCCUCGUUUUCCAACGAUUUGUCAGAAGUGUGAUGUAUGGUAUGUGAUCAGGGAGGAUGAUUAUAACUACUGUUCCAUCUUAUAAGUGAUGCUGAUAAGCGAACAAUAGAAAUCAGUUGUUCUAUUUGUCAUUUCUGAAUCUUACAAUGCAGUAGGUCUCCCCUUUUCCCAAUUAUCAUUUCAUAUUUUCUGAGAAUAUUUGUCAUGGAACCAGGAAAGCAAGUAUUAGAAUUUUUUCAUGUGUUAAUCUUGGUCAAAAAGUCGCAAAUUUGAUGAUUUUUCAUGUUAUUUUAGCA
Molecule: non-coding RNA, 1429 nt
Organism: Phoenix dactylifera (date palm)
Lineage: Eukaryota; Viridiplantae; Streptophyta; Magnoliopsida; Arecales; Arecaceae
Source: RefSeq, a predicted model, not a curated record